This 505-nucleotide ribosomal RNA is filed under the name uncultured bacterium. RNAcentral describes it as "partial 16S ribosomal RNA". It matches the Rfam family "Bacterial small subunit ribosomal RNA", at positions 28 to 507 of the family's 1533-position model. The record is from RNAcentral.
GACGAACGCUGGCGGCGUGCCUAAUACAUGCAAGUAGAACGCACAGUUUAUACCGUAGCUUGCUACACCAUAGACUGUGAGUUGCGAACGGGUGAGUAACGCGUAGGUAACCUGCCUGGUAGCGGGGGAUAACUAUUGGAAACGAUAGCUAAUACCGCAUAAUAUUGAUUAUUGCAUGAUAAUUGAUUGAAAGAUGCUAUUGCAUCACUACCAGAUGGACCUGCGUUGUAUUAGCUAGUAGGUGAGGUAACGGCUCACCUAGGCGACGAUACAUAGCCGACCUGAGAGGGUGAUCGGCCACACUGGGACUGAGACACGGCCCAGACUCCUACGGGAGGCAGCAGUAGGGAAUCUUCGGCAAUGGACGAAAGUCUGACCGAGCAACGCCGCGUGAGUGAAGAAGGGUUUCGGAUCGUAAAGCUCUGUUGUAAGAGAGGAACGGGUGUGAGAGUGGAAAGUUCACACUGUGACGGUAUCUUAACAGAAAGGGACGGCUAACUACGUG